AUUUGAUAUACAUAUCUCAACAUAUAGAGUAUCUGAGGCAACAAUUAACAUGACAAUAUUUCUAAAGCUAUUGUUAUUUAGCUAUUGUUUAACGUUUAUCAGUGCAAAGACCCUUUUAACUGAUACACAAAUUGAACUAUAUGAAUAUCAUUUACAUGACUUUCAUAAAAUAAUAUCAGUACAUUAUAAUGUCCAACUUGAGCCCGAUAUCGAAAUAAAUACUUUCUUCGGCGAAUGUAAUAUUAACAUUACGAUUCUUGUACCAAAGCAAUACCUAACACUGUAUUCAAAAGUUAAAUGUAUAAAUAAUAUAAUUAUGACUGAUAAUCCGCCAAGAUUUUACAAAGGGGACAAUACAGAAAUUAUUGUUUAUCCGAUAAAUUAUUUAUAUAAGAAUACGAAUAAAAGUGUUCAGAUUUUUACAUAAAUUUUGCAUCACCAGAACAUUACAUUUUGUUUAUAAAAUAUCAUGAUAUUAUAAAUCAUGAUACAAAGUUGACAACUUUUUCCAAACAAAAAUAUAAAUGGUGGGUAAUGCCAACGCAUUUUGAUAUACUUGGGGCCCGACAAGUGUUUUCUCGCUUGAGCGAAUUUUUGCAAGCCACCUUUAACAUUAUUAUAAAGCAUGAUCGUGAAUACGUAGCUUUAUCAAUUAUGGAGGUAC
Molecule: long non-coding RNA, 664 nt
Organism: Cataglyphis hispanica
Lineage: Eukaryota; Metazoa; Arthropoda; Insecta; Hymenoptera; Formicidae
Exons: 3
Source: RefSeq, a predicted model, not a curated record